UCCCUUUACUCAGCCAAGGCGACUGCAAGUCUUCGAGGUUGCCAGGACCACCAAAGCCUUCCACUCAAUGCACGUGCCUCAGGGCACUUCACCAGGCCUUGGCUUUUGAACAUUGAGGUUGUUUCCAGAUUUUUGCUGAGUUUGUUUCAACCAGCAGACAGUUAAGCCGGGCUCCUGCUAAGUGCUUCCCAGUGCAUGGAUGAAAGACAAUGAACCUGGUCCUGCCGCCCUUCCAGAGCCCACCUGCUCCAGACAGAGGCAGGCGUCAGUCGCAGAAGCAGAGGAUUCUGCCACAGCAGGGAGGGCAAGAAGACAUGAUUUACACGAAUGUAAAGUUGGUUUCCAGCCAGCCUGGAGCAGCAGUCUUGCACGUACUAUCCAAGGGAAAUCGAGGAAGACGUGAGCAGAGCUGUGCUGAUUCCAUGCCUCCGACAGGACCCUGAGAUAACAGCAAGGACGGGAGCAGAAAGCAGUCCUGGUGAGACUUUGCACCUGGAACCGUCCGUGAAGCCCUUGCAGCUCACGUCCCCUCCCUCCCGCUCUCCACUUCCCUCAUUCUAUUCCCUCAGCCCCUCUUUAAAAACCCCUCAGUAAAUCCAAGUCUUUGAGAUGGUUUUAGCCCGGGCACUCUCCUUCAGGUUGACCAGAGAGAUGGGUGAGCCUAACAUCUCCCCUCAGGUCACCUGUGUUCCUGAAUAAAAGCUGACUUCCAUUUCACCAA
This is a long non-coding RNA of Galeopterus variegatus (Sunda flying lemur), 721 nucleotides long. RefSeq lists it as uncharacterized. The transcript has 2 exons. NCBI's taxonomy places the organism in Eukaryota, Metazoa, Chordata, Mammalia, Dermoptera, Cynocephalidae. The record is from RefSeq and is a predicted model, not a curated record.